UACGUAGGGUCCAAGCGUUGUCCGGAUUUAUUGGGCGUAAAGAGCUCGUAGGCGGUUUCGUAAGUCGGAUGUGAAAACUCAGGGCUCAACCCGGAGACGCCAUCUGAUACUGCGAUGACUUGAGUCUGGUAGGGGAACACGGAAUUCCUGGUGUAGCGGUGAAAUGCGCAGAUAUCAGGAGGAACACCGAUGGCGAAGGCAGAUCUCUGGGCCGUAACUGACGCUGAGGAGCGAAAGCAUGGGGAGCGAACAGG
RNAcentral lists this ribosomal RNA (254 nucleotides) under uncultured bacterium. RNAcentral's name for it is "partial 16S ribosomal RNA". It matches the Rfam family "Bacterial small subunit ribosomal RNA", at positions 524 to 776 of the family's 1533-position model. The record is from RNAcentral.